Molecule: ribosomal RNA, 497 nt
Filed under: uncultured bacterium
Lineage: Bacteria
Description: partial 16S ribosomal RNA
Rfam family: Bacterial small subunit ribosomal RNA
Source: RNAcentral
GAUGAACGCUGGCGGCGUGCCUAAUACAUGCGAGUCGAGCGAACAGACGAGGAGCUUGCUCCUCUGACGUUAGCGGCGGACGGGUGAGUAACACGUGGAUAACCUACCUAUAAGACUGGGAUAACUUCGGGAAACCGGAGCUAAUACCGGAUAAUAUAUUGAACCGCAUGGUUCAAUAGUGAAAGACGGUUUUGCUGUCACUUAUAGAUGGAUCCGCGCCGCAUUAGCUAGUUGGUAAGGUAACGGCUUACCAAGGCAACGAUGCGUAGCCGACCUGAGAGGGGGAUCGGCCACACUGGAACUGAGACACGGUCCAGACUCCUACGGGAGGCAGCAGUAGGGAAUCUUCCGCAAUGGGCGAAAGCUUGACGGAGCAACGCCGCGUGAGUGAUGAAGGUCUUCGGAUCGUAAAACUCUGUUAUUAGGGAAGAACAAAUGUGUAAGUAACUAUGCACGUCUUGACGGUACCUAAUCAGAAAGCCACGGCUAACUACGUG